Molecule: microRNA precursor, 95 nt
Filed under: Canis lupus familiaris (dog)
Lineage: Eukaryota; Metazoa; Chordata; Mammalia; Carnivora; Canidae
Also listed under: 1 other name
Description: mir-8799 microRNA precursor family
Rfam family: mir-8799 microRNA precursor family
Source: Rfam by way of RNAcentral
GGGGGCAGCGCCGGAUCUUGGACUGUGUCCCCAAGCGCCCUGGGCUCCAGGGCCUGUGCCGCAGGAAUCGUGCUCCCAGGGCUGUGCAGCCCCCU